GUGGGGAAUUUUGGACAAUGGGCGCAAGCCUGAUCCAGCAAUGCCGCGUGCAGGAAGAAGGCCUUCGGGUUGUAAACUGCUUUUGUACGGAACGAAACGGCUCUGGUUAAUACCCGGGGCUAAUGACGGUACCGUAAGAAUAAGCACCGGCUAACUACGUGCCAGCAGCCGCGGUAAUACGUAGGGUGCAAGCGUUAAUCGGAAUUACUGGGCGGAAAGCGUGCGCAGGCGGUUGUGUAAGACAGGCGUGAAAUCCCCGGGCUCAACCUGGGAAUUGCGCUUGUGACUGCACAGCUGGAGUGCGGCAGAGGGGGAUGGAAUUCCGCGUGUAGCAGUGAAAUGCGUAGAUAUGCGGAGGAACACCGAUGGCGAAGGCAAUCCCCUGGGCCUGCACUGACGCUCAUGCACGAAAGCGUGGGGAGCAAACAGGAUUAGAUACCCCAGUAGUCC
Molecule: ribosomal RNA, 450 nt
Filed under: uncultured bacterium
Lineage: Bacteria
Description: partial 16S ribosomal RNA
Rfam family: Bacterial small subunit ribosomal RNA
Source: RNAcentral